Molecule: ribosomal RNA, 460 nt
Filed under: uncultured bacterium
Lineage: Bacteria
Description: partial 16S ribosomal RNA
Rfam family: Bacterial small subunit ribosomal RNA
Source: RNAcentral
CCUACGGGAGGCAGCAGUGAGGAAUAUUGGUCAAUGGACGAGAGUCUGAACCAGCCAAGUAGCGUGAAGGAUGACUGCCCUAUGGGUUGUAAACUUCUUUUAUAUGGGAAUAAAACGUUCCACGUGUGGGAUUUUGUAUGUACCAUAUGAAUAAGGAUCGGCUAACUCCGUGCCAGCAGCCGCGGUAAUACGGAGGAUACGAGCGUUAUCCGGAUUUAUUGGGUUUAAAGGGAGCGUAGGUGGAUUGUUAAGUCAGUUGUGAAAGUGUGCGGCUCAACCGUAAAAUUGCAGUUGAAACUGGCAGUCUUGAGUACAGUAGAGGUGGGCGGAAUUCGUGGUGUAGCGGUGAAAUGCUUAGAUAUCACGAAGAACUCCGAUUGCGAAGGCAGUUCACUGGACUGCAACUGACACUGAGGCUCGAAAGUGUGGGUAUCAAACAGGAUUAGAUACCCCUGUAGUC